GGUUGGAGGACAGGCCAAUCGCUCCCGGCUAUUUGAGCCAAUGGUGAAGUUCCUGAUGCCCACACCUGCUGGUCUCACCGCGAAGGCCUGGGCGUCACAGGCAGGGGGAAUGGGGAGGGGACGGUAGCGUCAGCCUAGACCCACACGCAGUUUCCUGAUAAAAGGUCCUUUUGAAACAUUCAUUCUCUUCUCACCAAGUUGAACGGAGAUGUGUUCCCAUAGUAAGAGUGAGGCCCCUGCAUUUGCUGCCCUCGGUUUUUCCAACCAACACCAUGGCCUCCCCCCGUACCCCAUUCAUACGCCUCAGAAGCUGACAAUGACUGUUGGGCUUUUCCAAUGAAUACCAGAACACCAUUUCCUGCAGCCUGAAAAGAAGACAGUAUAAUUAUUUGGCAGCAAGAGGCCAAGCAGGAAACUAGAGAUAUGGUGAUGGUAGUGGUCCCAAGGAGGAGCUUUAACAUGAGCACCACCCACAGGAGGCAGACCACCCUCCUGGCUGCAGUGCGUAUGAAUGUUGGCCCCCACCCAGGUCCUCAAGUG
RNAcentral lists this long non-coding RNA (540 nucleotides) under Pongo abelii (Sumatran orangutan). Its description in RNAcentral is "lincRNA". Lineage: Eukaryota; Metazoa; Chordata; Mammalia; Primates; Hominidae. The record is from RNAcentral.